RNAcentral lists this ribosomal RNA (485 nucleotides) under uncultured bacterium. RNAcentral describes it as "partial 16S ribosomal RNA". It matches the Rfam family "Bacterial small subunit ribosomal RNA", at positions 28 to 523 of the family's 1533-position model. The record is from RNAcentral.
GACAAACGCUGGCGGGGUGCGUGAGACAUGCAAGUCGAACGAGGAGCCUCCGAGCUUGCUUGGAGGCUUCCUAGUGGCGGACGGCUGAGUAACGCGUUGGUGACCUGCCCCAAAGUGUGGGAUAACAGUCCGAAAGGAUUGCUAAUACCGCAUGUGGUCAUUGGCUUUAGAAACUGAUGACUAAAGGGGUAAUUCGCUUUGGGAGGGACCUGCGUCCCAUCAGCUAGUUGGUGAGGUAACGGCUCACCAAGGCGACGACGGGUAGGGGACCUGAGAGGGUGGCCCCCCACAAUGGAACUGAAACACGGUCCAUACACCUACGGGUGGCGGCAGUAGGGAAUAUUGCUCAAUGGGCGAAAGCCUGAAGCAGCAACGCCGCGUGUGUGAUGAAGGCCUUCGGGUCGUAAAGCACUUUUCUGGGAGAUGAGAAAGGACAGUAUCCCAGGAAUAAGUCUCGGCUAACUACGUGCCAGCCGCCGCCGUAA